AACUUACACAUGCAAGUCUCCACACACCCGUGAAAACGCCCCUUCGUCCGUUUACGGACAGGGAGCCGAUAUCAGGCACAAACACCCAAGACAUCUAGCCAUGCCACACCCACAAGGGCCCUCAGCAGUGAUCAACAUUAAAAAUAAACGUCAGUUUGAUUUAGUUAAUGAAAACAGAGCCGGCCAAUCUGGUGCCAGCCGCCGCGGUUACACCACGUGGCUCAAAUUGACUUCACAACGGCGUAAAGCGUGAUUAAAGAGAAUAAAUUAUUGAGGUUAAACUUAAACUGAGCUGUAGCACGCCUGUAAUAAGGAAAAUCACAUUUCGAAAGAUACCCCAAAUCAUCAACUUGAACUCACAACAACUAAAAUACAAACUGGGAUUAGAUACCCCACUAUGCUUAGUCGUAAACUUUAACUUACACCCCAUCGCCAGGGGACUACGAGCAAACCCAAAGGACUUGACGGUACCCCACAUCCCCCUAGAGGAGCCUGUCCUAUAACCGAUACCCCACGUUCUACCCCACCAUUUUUAGUCUAUCAGCCUGUAUACUUCCGUCGUCAGCUUACCGCAUGAGCGAGAUAAGUAAGCCAAAUGUUACUCACCAAUACGUCAGGUCAAAGUGCAGCAAAUAAAAUGGCAAGAGAUGGGCUACACUCUCUACAAUAGAAGACACAAAAAUUAUGUGAAAUCAUAUCUAAAAGGUGGAUUUAGUAGUAAGAAGAAAAUAGUAUAUUCCUCUUAACCCGGCACUGGGGUGUGUACACACCGCCCGUCACCCUCUUCAACUAACAUCACCACAGUAUUUAACAACCGCUACGCAAUAGAAGAGGUAAGUC
This 840-nucleotide non-coding RNA is filed under the name Pristimantis petrobardus (Huambos robber frog). The record is from RNAcentral. Lineage: Eukaryota; Metazoa; Chordata; Amphibia; Anura; Strabomantidae.